GCGGCUGAUUGAACGCGAGUGGACAAGGCACCUGCCCGGUAAGCAGAAGGGUGUGGGUUCGAUUCCCGCCCCUGGACA
This 78-nucleotide transfer RNA is filed under the name Cordylochernes scorpioides. RNAcentral describes it as "tRNA-Thr". The record is from RNAcentral. Lineage: Eukaryota; Metazoa; Arthropoda; Arachnida; Pseudoscorpiones; Chernetidae.